Calidris pugnax (ruff) is the source of this 222-nucleotide long non-coding RNA. RefSeq lists it as uncharacterized. The transcript is spliced from 3 exons. Lineage: Eukaryota; Metazoa; Chordata; Aves; Charadriiformes; Scolopacidae. The record is from RefSeq and is a predicted model, not a curated record.
GGAGCCAGUGGGGAAGGUGGCUCUGUCCCCACGGACUGGGUUUGUCCCAGGAAUAUAAGGAAAUGGUAUCUGGCUUUGUUUUGGCACGGUUUGGCUCCCCUUGCAGCAAGGCAGGAGAAGAGUUUAAAGGGCACGGCUUUCCCGUGUAUCUGGCUGGAAGGACAUGAAAGAAGGAUCCUUCAGAAGAGGUUGUUCAGGUGUUUUUCAGCCCCAGACUGCAAC